CGCCAUUUUGUACCACACUACAGGAUGUGUUGGCUGGAUGUGAUAAAUAGAUGAAUGUUAACGCAGCCAUUUUUUUCUUCUUCUUCUCCCAACUCAAUGCGCUCGAGCUAUUAAAAUUUACAAGUGACAUUGCAGACAUCUAUCCUUGUUACUGGUCGAUAAGGAUUCAUGGGUUUGCCUCGGUCGAGCGUAACGAGAAUAACAAGCUAAACGCGUCAACUUGACGGCUUCGUCUGCUUAGCAUCAUUAUCGUCAACAUUCCCCAAUUCUCUUCGCUUCUGGAACGUAGGUUAAAAAGGGCAAGGUGAUGAAUGAGAAUGUCACCUGAAGAAGAGCAACAACGAUACGAGUGGCGCCACUUUGAACGGCGAUGGUCGAAAUGGUCGUCGUAGCUGGCGUCUGAGAUGACAGGACGGAGCCGGAUGACCUCUGCUGCCGCUGGAGCGAAUGCGCUAAAGGCGGGAUGUCGGCUUCGGCCAUGUCAAAUUCGUUUUCUCUUCACAGUUCGUUAUAUGGGUUGCACGGCUGAUUACGAUUUAUCCGCAAAAAAAAAAAAUAGAACGAACCACACCCAGCGUGAUAUUUCCGUCCGGGGUACUCACGCACGCCAAGAAGAGAGAGGCGAAGGGUAAGGAGGAGGCCAAGUUUAAAUUAUAAUAUUUUAUUUUUUUUUUUUAGAAAAAGACAAACAACAAAAGACUCCCCGCGUCCAGACUCCGUGCCAGUCGGGGAGGAACUGGUCGCUCUCGUCCGCUGGCGUCGCUGUGCGCGACCGCAGAAACCUAAGGUUCUAUUAAUAGGGAAGCCGCCUAUAGUACGGAGGAUAAGUUUUCUAGGCGUCUGUUGACUGGCCGCUUGUUGUGCUGUCACGUUGGAUUAUAGUAGCCCCAACAAAAGAGAAACAAGGCA
RNAcentral lists this long non-coding RNA (909 nucleotides) under Daphnia magna. RNAcentral describes it as "uncharacterized LOC123466990, transcript variant X2". Lineage: Eukaryota; Metazoa; Arthropoda; Branchiopoda; Diplostraca; Daphniidae. The record is from RNAcentral.